RNAcentral lists this ribosomal RNA (506 nucleotides) under uncultured bacterium. RNAcentral's name for it is "partial 16S ribosomal RNA". It matches the Rfam family "Bacterial small subunit ribosomal RNA", at positions 28 to 523 of the family's 1533-position model. The record is from RNAcentral.
GAUGAACGCUAGCUACAGGCUUAACACAUGCAAGUCGAGGGGUAACGAGAGGAAAGCUUGCUUUCCUUGUCGACGACCGGCGCACGGGUGAGUAACGCGUAUCCAACCUGCCCCCAACUAGGGAAUAACCUUGCGAAAGUAAGACUAAUACCCUAUAAUUUCCUCAGAUGACAUCUGACGAGGAAUAAAGAUUUAUCGGUUGUGGAUGGGGAUGCGUCUGAUUAGCUUGUUGGCGGGGUAACGGCCCACCAGGGCAACGAUCAGUAGGGGUUCUGAGAGGAAGGUCCCCCAGAUUGGAACUGGGACACGGGCCAAACUCCUACGGGAGGCAGCAGUGAGGAAUAUUGGUCAAUGGGCGGAAGCCUGAACCAGCCAAGUAGCGUGCAGGAUGACGGCCCUAUGGGUUGUAAACUGCUUUUAUACAGGAAUAAAGUUAGCCACGUGUGGUUAUUUGUAGGUACUGUAUGAAUAAGGACCGGCUAAUUCCGUGCCAGCAGCCGCAGUAA